Molecule: non-coding RNA, 313 nt
Organism: Camelina sativa (false flax)
Lineage: Eukaryota; Viridiplantae; Streptophyta; Magnoliopsida; Brassicales; Brassicaceae
Source: RefSeq, a predicted model, not a curated record
AGAAGAAGAUCUCAUCUUUCGAAUGUACAAACUUGUCCGGGACAGGUGGGAUUUAAUAGCAAGGAGAGUCGUAGGACGAGAGGCGAAGGAGAUAGAGAGAUUUUGGAUUAUGAAAAACUCUGACUAUUUCUCUCACAAAUGAUAGCACUGCGACAUCCUCCAUGUGUUUCUAUGUCUCAUCCUCAUUAAUUUUGUUAUUGUGGACAAAAUAAGCUUUAAUGUAUUUCUUAUUUUCAUCAGAUAUUCACAUGAUACCUCCAGCUAGUAUUAUAAAUUACUUCCAAAUAAAUGUGAUCGAAUUAGUACACUAGUA